AUGCCAAGCCUCCUUCUUUAUGACCUUUGCCAUGGGCAGACUUCCUCACGCUGGCUCCCGGCACACAUGUUUGCCGCGGUUACAGCCUCUGGAAGGCUUGAAGGACGGAGCACACCCUGGCCUCCUUUGUCGCCCAGCCAGCACUUCAGGGAAAGAGAGGAGGGCACUUUGCUGUCUGGCCCACCCGCAGUUAGGUGCUGGAUGAGCCACACUCGUGUUCACAAGCGGCUGACGUGGCCAUGGGCCUGCCCGGCAGUCCACAUGGCUCCUCUCUGGGCACCUGCUCCUAGAUGGUGUGGUGCUCCCUGCCCUUGCUCUGGGCUCCUCCAGCCAGACCUGCCCUGUGAUACAUCUGCCAAGGGCAAGACCACCUUCACCAGCCUGGGGCAGGGGCUUCUCUCUGCGUGACCCGGACCUCCCAGCUCCCCUUGCUCCUGGGCUGCGGCCGAUCCUGCCACUGUGUGGGGCUGUCCACACAGCAGUGACUCAGGAGCAGCCACAGCCCUGCAGAAGUGGGACGUCCCCGCCACACGUGAGCACUGUGGACCCAUGCACCCGGGGGAGCUGGAGCUGGAUGUGUGAGGGGGCCCCGCGUUCAUGAUUGACUGGGUCUGGAUGAUCCGAACGUGAUGUAUAAACCUCAGGCUGGAGCUUGCUAAUCUGAAAAUCAGCACCACAAAAUCCUGGGAAAACCCUCAAACGGGAUUUGAAUGGAAUAGAAACUGGUCACUUCUGAGGGCCUGCUCUCCUCAGACUUGGAGAGAGGAGGAUGGAAGGAAGUGGCAGCGGCUGGGGGCGUUGGGCAGACCCGCCAACCCCUAGACCAGAGCCGACUCUGUGCCCGGCCCUGGACUUCAGACGCGUCCCAACGCCGGCUCCGCCAGCACUGAGUGGACCCAUCCCCGCGUUGGCGGCAGAGUUAGGUGGGGACUGCAGGCGUGCAUGCGGCCAGCCCGUGGACCCUCUGCACUGCGGGCCCGUCUCUGGCUGCCUUAGAGCUUGGGGACGUUCUGAUGCCUCCACUGGACCCAGGCCAGCGAAGGGAGAGGGGCGGGCCUGGCCUCACACUGAGAAGCCCCACCGCGGAAGCCUGUCUGCAGCGGCUGGGCUGCCAGGUUCGGACCAAGUGUCUGCUGCUGUGUCCUGGAGGCCAGACUGCUGGGGAAGCGGGUGAGGACACUCAGCUGCCCAUGAUGGACGGGCCCUCCGGGCGCUGGUCGUGCACACUGCAGGAGAGCCCUGUCCAGCAGAGAGGAGCUGCAGGAGCUCCAGUGGAAGUCUCUGCGCACCUUGUCGGCCCAGUGCCUGGGGGCAGAGUGGGGCGCUGUCCAGGAGCUGGGGUGAGGGGGCGUCUCUGGGGGGGCAGAGUGGGGCGCUGUCC
Molecule: long non-coding RNA, 1381 nt
Filed under: Bos indicus x Bos taurus (hybrid cattle)
Lineage: Eukaryota; Metazoa; Chordata; Mammalia; Artiodactyla; Bovidae
Description: lncRNA (ENSBIXG00000024619.1)
Source: RNAcentral